RNAcentral lists this ribosomal RNA (370 nucleotides) under uncultured bacterium. RNAcentral's name for it is "bacterial SSU rRNA". It matches the Rfam family "Bacterial small subunit ribosomal RNA", at positions 527 to 896 of the family's 1533-position model. The record is from RNAcentral.
GGAGGGUGCAAGCGUUAAUCGGAAUUACUGGGCGUAAAGCGCACGCAGGCGGUUGGAUAAGUUAGAUGUGAAAACCCCGGGCUCAACCUGGGAAUUGCAUUUAAAACUGUCCAGCUAGAGUCUUGUAGAGGGGGGUAGAAUUCCAGGUGUAGCGGUGAAAUGCGUAGAGAUCUGGAGGAAUACCGGUGGCGAAGGCGGCCCCCUGGACAAAGACUGACGCUCAGGUGCGAAAGCGUGGGGAGCAAACAGGAUUAGAUACCCUGGUAGUCCACGCCGUAAACGAUGUCGAUUUGGAGGCUGUGUCCUUGAGACGUGGCUUCCGGAGCUAACGCGUUAAAUCGACCGCCUGGGGAGUACGGCCGCAAGGUUA